UGGGGAAUAUUGCGCAAUGGGGGGAACCCUGACGCAGCCAUGCCGCGUGAAUGAAGAAGGCCUUAGGGUUGUAAAGUUCUUUCGGUAUUGAGGAAGGUUGAUGUGUUAAUAGCACAUCAAAUUGACGUUAAAUACAGAAGAAGCACCGGCUAACUCCGUGCCAGCAGCCGCGGUAAUACGGAGGGUGCGAGCGUUAAUCGGAAUAACUGGGCGUAGAGGGCACGCAGGCGGUUAUUUAAGUGAGGUGUGAAAGCCCCGGGCUUAACCUGGGAAUUGCAUUUCAGACUGGGUAACUAGAGUACUUUAGGGAGGGGUAGAAUUCCACGUGUAGCGGUGAAAUGCGUAGAGAUGUGGAGGAAUACCGAAGGCGAAGGCAGCCCCUUGGGAAUGUACUGACGCUCAUGUGCGAAAGCGUGGGGAGCAAACAGGAUUAGAUACCCUGGUAGUCCACGCUGUAAACGCUGUCGAUUUGGGGGUUGGGGUUUAACUCUGGCGCCCGUAGCUAACGUGAUAAAUCGACCGCCUGGGGAGUACGGCCGCAAGGUUA
This 547-nucleotide ribosomal RNA is filed under the name uncultured bacterium. Its description in RNAcentral is "bacterial SSU rRNA". It matches the Rfam family "Bacterial small subunit ribosomal RNA", at positions 355 to 896 of the family's 1533-position model. The record is from RNAcentral.